CCAGUGAACCAGAAAUGGUAGACCUGU
This 27-nucleotide non-coding RNA is filed under the name Rattus norvegicus (Norway rat). Lineage: Eukaryota; Metazoa; Chordata; Mammalia; Rodentia; Muridae. The record is from RNAcentral.